Molecule: ribosomal RNA, 406 nt
Filed under: uncultured bacterium
Lineage: Bacteria
Description: partial 16S ribosomal RNA
Rfam family: Bacterial small subunit ribosomal RNA
Source: RNAcentral
GAUGAACGCUAGCUACAGGCUUAACACAUGCAAGUCGAGGGACCGGCGCACGGGUGAGUAACACGUAUCCAACCUGCCCUUUACUCGGGGAUAGCCUUUCGAAAGAAAGAUUAAUACCCGAUAUAAAGGAUGGGGCUGCGUUCCAUUAGGUUGUUGGUGAGGUAACGGCCCACCAAGCCUUCGAUGGAUAGGGGUUCUGGGAGGAAGGUCCCCCACAUUUGAACGGGGACACGGUCCAAACUCCUACGGGAGGCAGGAGUGAGGAGUAUUGGUCGAUGGGCGUGAGCCUGAACCAGUCAAGGAGCGUGAAGGAGGAAGGCUUCUGGGUCGUAAAAUUUUUUUAUAGAUGAAGAUGUAUUAUAGGAAUAAGGAUCGGCUAACUCCGUGCCAGCAGCCGCGGUAAUAC